GACCGUCGGACCGCCGAUCUUCGAACUCGCUCUGGAUCAUUUUCAAUCGCUCACCACGUCUGUGUCAGCAUAUUUGUUAAAGUAGUGAGAGUUGAAAUCCUUGUAUUUGAAGGACUUGAAAAUUGGUGGAUUAUGUUCAUCAGUGAUAGCUUGUGCUGGCUCGAUGUUACAAUCAUCCGAAUGAGCUACAAAAAAUGCAGCAGUUGUACGAGCAUGACUUGAAUUUGUCACAGCCCUAUGCUCAAC
Molecule: long non-coding RNA, 246 nt
Filed under: Medicago truncatula (barrel medic)
Lineage: Eukaryota; Viridiplantae; Streptophyta; Magnoliopsida; Fabales; Fabaceae
Description: lncRNA gene36798
Source: RNAcentral